RNAcentral lists this ribosomal RNA (253 nucleotides) under uncultured bacterium. RNAcentral describes it as "partial 16S ribosomal RNA". It matches the Rfam family "Bacterial small subunit ribosomal RNA", at positions 524 to 776 of the family's 1533-position model. The record is from RNAcentral.
GACGAGGGAUCCUAGCGUUGCUCGGAAUCAUUGGGCGUAAAGCGAAUGUAGGCGGCUUUGUAAGUCAGUUGUGAAAUCCCCGGGCUCAACUCGGGAACUGCUUCUGAUACUGCAAAGCUAGAGUAUGGGAGAGGGUAGUAGAAUUCCUGGUGUAGUGGUGAAAUACGUAGAUAUCAGGAGGAAUACCGGUGGCGAAGGCGGCUACCUGGACCAAUACUGACGCUGAGAUUCGAAAGCGUGGGGAUCAAACAGG